Molecule: ribosomal RNA, 460 nt
Filed under: uncultured bacterium
Lineage: Bacteria
Description: partial 16S ribosomal RNA
Rfam family: Bacterial small subunit ribosomal RNA
Source: RNAcentral
CCUACGGGUGGCAGCAGUGAGGAAUAUUGGUCAAUGGGCGCUAGCCUGAACCAGCCAAGUAGCGUGAAGGAUGACUGCACUCUGGGUUGUAAACUUCUUUUACAUGGGAAUAAAGUGCAGUAUGUAUACUGCUUUGCAUGUACCUUAUGAAUCAGGAUCGGCGAACUCCGUGCCAGCAGCCGCGGUAAUACGGAGGAUCCGAGCGUUAUCCGGAUUUAUUGGGUUUAAAGGGAGCGUAGGCGGGUUGGUAAGUCAGUUGUGAAAGUUGGCGGCUCAACCGUAAAAUUGCAGUUGAUACUGGAAGCCUGGAGUGCAGGAGAGGUAAGCGGAAUUCGUGGUGUAGCGGUGAAAUGCGUAGAUAUCAGGAAGAACUCCGAUUGCGAAGGCAGCCUGCUGGACUGUAACUGACGCUGAUGCUCGAAAGUGUGGGUAUCAAACAGGAUUAGAUACCCUGGUAGUC